UAAUACGAAGGGUGCAAGCGUUACUCGGAAUUACUGGGCGUAAAGCGUGCGUAGGUGGUUCGUUAAGUCUGUCGUGAAAUCCCCGGGCUCAACCUGGGAAUGGCGAUGGAUACUGGCGGGCUAGAGUGCGGUAGAGGAGAGUGGAAUUCCCGGUGUAGCAGUGAAAUGCGUAGAGAUCGGGAGGAACAUCAGUUGCGAAGGCGGCUCUCUGGACCAGCACUGACACUGAGGCACGAAAGCGUGGGGAGCAAACAGGAUUAGAUACCCUGGUAGUCCACGCCCUAAACGAUGCGAACUGGACGUUGGAUGCAACUAGGCAUUCAGUGUCGAAGCUAACGCGUUAAGUUCGCCGCCUGGGGAGUACGGUCGCAAGACUGAAACUCAAAGGAAUUGACGG
Molecule: ribosomal RNA, 397 nt
Filed under: uncultured bacterium
Lineage: Bacteria
Description: bacterial SSU rRNA
Rfam family: Bacterial small subunit ribosomal RNA
Source: RNAcentral